GGGCGGGUGGCUUAGGGAAUAGAGUAACAGAUUCCAGAUCUGUGGGUCGGGGGUUCAAAUUCCUCCGCGCUCG
This 73-nucleotide transfer RNA is filed under the name Tolypothrix sp. PCC 7601. Its description in RNAcentral is "tRNA-Trp". It matches the Rfam family "tRNA". Rfam says of the family: Transfer RNA (tRNA) molecules are approximately 80 nucleotides in length. Lineage: Bacteria; Bacillati; Cyanobacteriota; Cyanophyceae; Nostocales; Tolypothrichaceae. RNAcentral also lists the same sequence under 3 other names. The record is from RNAcentral.